AUACGGAGGAUGCGAGCGUUAUCCGGAUUUAUUGGGUUUAAAGGGUGCGUAGGUGGUGAUUUAAGUCAGCGGUGAAAGUUUGUGGCUCAACCAUAAAAUUGCCGUUGAAACUGGGUUACUUGAGUGUGUUUGAGGUAGGCGGAAUGCGUGGUGUAGCGGUGAAAUGCAUAGAUAUCACGCAGAACUCCGAUUGCGAAGGCAGCUUACUAAACCAUAACUGACACUGAAGCACGAAAGCGUGGGGAUC
This 247-nucleotide ribosomal RNA is filed under the name uncultured bacterium. RNAcentral's name for it is "partial 16S ribosomal RNA". It matches the Rfam family "Bacterial small subunit ribosomal RNA", at positions 523 to 769 of the family's 1533-position model. The record is from RNAcentral.